CGUUAGCGGCGGACGGGUGAGUAACACGUGGGUAACCUACCUAUAAGACUGGGAUAACUCCGGGAAACCGGGGCUAAUACCGGAUAACACAUGAAACCGCAUGGUUUCAUGAUGAAAGACGGUUUUGCUGUCACUUAUAGAUGGACCCGCGGCGUAUUAGCUAGUUGGUAAGGUAACGGCUUACCAAGGCAACGAUACGUAGCCGACCUGAGAGGGGUGAUCGGCCACACUGGAACUGAGACACGGUCCAGACUCCUACGGGAGGCAGCAGCA
Molecule: ribosomal RNA, 273 nt
Filed under: uncultured Staphylococcus sp.
Lineage: Bacteria; Bacillati; Bacillota; Bacilli; Caryophanales; Staphylococcaceae
Description: partial 16S ribosomal RNA
Rfam family: Bacterial small subunit ribosomal RNA
Source: RNAcentral